UACGAAGGGGGCUAGCGUUGCUCGGAAUCACUGGGCGUAAAGCGCACGUAGGCGGAUCUUUAAGUCAGGGGUGAAAUCCCAAGGCUCAACCUUGGAACUGCCUUUGAUACUGGGGAUCUCGAGUCCGGAAGAGGUUGGUGGAACUGCGAGUGUAGAGGUGAAAUUCGUAGAUAUUCGCAAGAACACCAGUGGCGAAGGCGGCCAACUG
This 208-nucleotide ribosomal RNA is filed under the name uncultured bacterium. RNAcentral describes it as "partial 16S ribosomal RNA". It matches the Rfam family "Bacterial small subunit ribosomal RNA", at positions 524 to 731 of the family's 1533-position model. The record is from RNAcentral.